UUGCCUCCUAGAGUUCCUCUAAACACUUCUUUGGGGUCAUUUGGAGAAAAUGCCGUUGCCCUACUGAAGUGUUUGGGGGAACUCCGGGUGCCAA
This 94-nucleotide microRNA precursor is filed under the name Citrus sinensis (sweet orange). RNAcentral's name for it is "mir-395 microRNA precursor family". It matches the Rfam family "mir-395 microRNA precursor family". From Rfam's summary of the family: mir-395 was identified in both Arabidopsis thaliana and Oryza sativa computationally and was later experimentally verified. mir-395 is thought to target mRNAs coding for ATP sulphurylases. The record is from Rfam by way of RNAcentral. Lineage: Eukaryota; Viridiplantae; Streptophyta; Magnoliopsida; Sapindales; Rutaceae.